ACAAGAAGUUGCUUUACUGAAUAAAGCAAGAAAAAUGGGAGCUACUGGUUCAGAUGUGAAAUGAAGAUCUUCCAAUUGAAGGGAGGAUGAUAAGAGGCUGCUGAAUUUAAGAAACAAAGUCAGCCAGGUUUUUCUAAUAUGAGAUAUGAACAGACCAGGUGGUCAUUCCUACCAGGGAGAAGUGAGGGUAAGUGGUUGUCCCGGACAAGGAGGUAAGAAAUACCAGUCUCCAAACAUCCAUGUGUAUAUCAAGUGGUGUGGAUUUUACUUUCUGGAAGAAGAACUGUGGUG
Molecule: non-coding RNA, 291 nt
Organism: Chrysemys picta bellii (western painted turtle)
Lineage: Eukaryota; Metazoa; Chordata; Testudines; Emydidae
Source: RefSeq, a predicted model, not a curated record